UAGAGGGAACGAACAAGAGUGCUGCAAAUUGAAGCCGGAGGAAACGAAGUUGAUCGAAGUGGAAAAAGACGAUAUAUAAAAAGGUAAGUUUUGUUUUGAUACAAAGAGCGUCAUAUUUACCCAGCUAGCGUUAGCUUGUUUGGUGAAAGAGCUUGCAAGUCAAGAGACAGCACUGUCUGUGCACCUAAAUGUAACUCUUGACAUUAUAUAGAUUAGAUAUAUUAUAGGUGCAGAGAGGAGUUGGUUUAUUGUGCUUCAAUGUAAAUCCUAAUGUGAGAGUUAAAGGACGGUCAACAAUAUAAUGUACCUUGGUCAGUUUGGAUUUAUCGUGGCAUUUAUUCUUAAUUAAAGUGAAUUUAUUUUUAUUUCAGUCAGUCAUUUGUUUGUAUGCAGGUGUGGGACAUUCCAAAUGUUCCAAAAGUGAGCACUCCACGAAUGGACAACAGUUUGCAGGACCUCUCAGUCACCCACAACCAGCGUCUGAUCGGGAUGGAGCACCAACCCCAUUCCAGGAAGAGGUCCAGUCUUCCCCGGGUCAGAACCACUUCUAUAGGUAAACCAUGUUGACAGUUGCAUCGUGACACAGUUGUUUGCUGUGUAUCUUUAUUUUACAUUUGUUUGUUUGUAUAGCCUCCAAUCACAGUGGGUAACAUUGCCAGGAAGCAGAACAAUUAUACUUUUAUACAUUUCCAAAUGACACCCACAACAUCUGACAUCUUAGUGAA
Long non-coding RNA from Gymnodraco acuticeps, 725 nucleotides. RefSeq lists it as uncharacterized. The transcript has 3 exons. Lineage: Eukaryota; Metazoa; Chordata; Actinopteri; Perciformes; Bathydraconidae. The record is from RefSeq and is a predicted model, not a curated record.